RNAcentral lists this ribosomal RNA (497 nucleotides) under uncultured bacterium. Its description in RNAcentral is "partial 16S ribosomal RNA". It matches the Rfam family "Bacterial small subunit ribosomal RNA", at positions 28 to 507 of the family's 1533-position model. The record is from RNAcentral.
GACGAACGCUGGCGGCGUGCCUAAUACAUGCAAGUUGAGCGCUGAAGGUUGGUACUUGUACCCACUGGAUGAGCAGCGAACGGGUGAGUAACGCGUGGGGAAUCUGCUUUUGAGUGGGGGACAACAUUUGGAAACGAAUGCUAAUACCGCAUAAAAACUUUAAACACAAGUUUUAAGUUUGAAAGAUGCAAUUGCAUCACUCAAAGAUGAUCCCGCGUUGUAUUAGCUAGUUGGUGAGGUAAAGGCUCACCAAGGCGGUGAUACAUAGCCGACCUGAGAGGGUGAACGGCCACAUUGGGACUGGGAAACGGCCCAAACUCCUACGGGAGGCAGCAGUAGGGAAUCUUCGGACAUGGACGAAAGUCUGACCGAGCAACGCCGCGUGAGUGAAGAAGGUUUUCGGAUCGUAAAACUCUGUUGGUAGAGAAGAACGUUGGUGAGAGUGGAAAGCUCAUCAAGUGACGGUAACUACCCAGAAAGGGACGGCUAACUACGUG